RNAcentral lists this RNase P RNA (359 nucleotides) under Thermosulfuriphilus ammonigenes. RNAcentral's name for it is "Bacterial RNase P class A". It matches the Rfam family "Bacterial RNase P class A". From Rfam's summary of the family: Ribonuclease P (RNase P) is a ubiquitous endoribonuclease, found in archaea, bacteria and eukarya as well as chloroplasts and mitochondria. Its best characterised activity is the generation of mature 5'-ends of tRNAs by cleaving the 5'-leader elements of precursor-tRNAs. Cellular RNase Ps are ribonucleoproteins. The record is from Rfam by way of RNAcentral. Lineage: Bacteria; Pseudomonadati; Thermodesulfobacteriota; Thermodesulfobacteria; Thermodesulfobacteriales; Thermodesulfobacteriaceae.
UAAGGUGGGUCGGCGGUCGCUGGAGUUUUUAAAGCUCCAGAGGAAAGUCCGAGCUCCAGAGGGCAGGGUGCCGGGUAACGCCCGGAGGGGGUAACCCCUGGAAAGUGCCACAGAAAAGAGACCGCCGGUCUACCUUGACCGGUAAGGGUGAAAAGGUGGGGUAAGAGCCCACCGCUGUCGUGGUAACACGGCAGGCACGGCAAACCCCACCCGGAGCAAGACCAAGUAGGGAAGCGUCUGAGGGUGGCCCGCCCGAGCUUCCGGGUCGGUCGCUAGAGCGGUCGGGUAACCGACCGCCAAGAUGAAUGACCGCCACUCCUGAAGGAGAACAGAACUCGGCUUAUGGCCCGCCUUACCCC